AAUGAACGCUGGCGGCAGGCUUAACACAUGCAAGUCGAGCGAGCGGAGGACGGGUGAGGAAUGUCUGGGAAAGUGCCUUAUCGAUGGGGAUAACUACUGUAAACGGUAGCUAAUGCUGCAUAACAUCAGAUUCGCCAAGAUGGGAUUAGCUAGUAGGUGGGGUAAUGGAUCACCGAGGCGACGAUCCCUAGCUGGUCUGAGAGGAUGACCAGCCACACUGGAACUGAGACACGGUCCAGACUCCUACGGGAGGCAGCAGUGGGGAAUAUUGCACAAUGGGAGCAAGCCUGAUACAGCCAUGCCGCGUGUGUGAAGAAGGCCUUCGGAUUGUAAAGCACUUUCAGCGGGGAGGCGUUACUCGCAGAAGAAGCACCGGCUAACUCCGUGCCAGCAGCCGCGGUAAUUC
RNAcentral lists this ribosomal RNA (406 nucleotides) under uncultured bacterium. RNAcentral describes it as "partial 16S ribosomal RNA". It matches the Rfam family "Bacterial small subunit ribosomal RNA", at positions 29 to 526 of the family's 1533-position model. The record is from RNAcentral.